CAAUAAGCGGAGGAAAAGAAACUAACAAGGAUUCCCCUAGUAACGGCGAGUGAAGCGGGAUGAGCUCAAAUUUGAAAGCUGGCCUUACGGUCCGCGUUGUAAUCUCGAGAAGUGUUUUCCGUGUCGGUCCACGUACAAGUCCCUUGGAAUAGGGCGUCGUAGAGGGUGAGAAUCCCGUACUUGACGUGACCGCCGAUGCUUUGUGAUACACUCUCCACGAGUCGAGUUGUUUGGGAAUGCAGCUCAAAAUGGGUGGUAAACUCCAUCUAAAGCUAAAUAUUGGGGAGAGACCGAUAGCGAACAAGUACCGUGAGGGAAAGAUGAAAAGCACUUUGGAAAGAGAGUUAAACAGUACGUGAAAUUGUCGAAAGGGAAGCGCUUGAAGUCAGCUAUGCUGGUCGAGAUUCAGCCUUGCUCUUGCAUGGUGUAUUUCUCGGCACGCAGGUCAGCAUCGGUUUUGGUUGCUGGAUAAGGGUAGAUGGAAUGUGGCACCCUCGGGUGUGUUUAUAGACUUCUACUUGAUACAGUGGCUGGGACCGAGGUACGCAGUGCGCCCUUUUGGGUAGGCCUUCGGGUACUUUCGCACUUAGGAUGCUGGCGUAAUGGCUUUAAGCGACCCGUCUUGAAACAC
Molecule: ribosomal RNA, 631 nt
Filed under: Gjaerumia ossifragi
Lineage: Eukaryota; Fungi; Basidiomycota; Exobasidiomycetes; Georgefischeriales; Gjaerumiaceae
Description: LSU rRNA
Rfam family: Eukaryotic large subunit ribosomal RNA
Source: RNAcentral